GUUGCUUAGGGCCUAGCUAAAUAGCUGAGGCUGGCUCUGAAUCUUUACCUGCUCCCUUAGCCUCCUGAACCACUGGGAUUACAGGUGGGCACCACUGCACCGGCCUCAAGUAAGAUUUUAACGUGAGCCAGACACUCUUGGUCUGGGGAUCAAAUCCUGAAUGUGCUAGGUAAUCUAGAAAUUUGCUCUUAUAUGUGGGACAUGCAUUCAACACUCUCUCCUGUGAAUGAACUUAUCAAAGUGAUAUGGACAUGGAGAAAAUGGGUGCAUUAAUUCUGUCUGAAUGAGUCCGGAAGUUACAAAAUAACAGUUGAAUUUGGUCUUGAACAAUAGAAGAAUGAGAAUUUUCCAGAAGUUUUUGGAGGUGUGGGACAUGAUGGUCCCAGCAAACACAAGCAAACACCGCAGCAGUUACAACUGGUUUCCUUCCACAGCAUUGAGGUUAGUUGAACUGACCCAUGUCCAAUGGUGGGUUGGAGCCUGCUUGUGAAUAGAUGUGUGUGACCUUAUGAGUUUUGCUCAGCGAUGAUGGGAACGACUGAUGGAUUUUAGAAGAGUUGAC
This 562-nucleotide long non-coding RNA is filed under the name Marmota monax (woodchuck). The record is from RNAcentral. Lineage: Eukaryota; Metazoa; Chordata; Mammalia; Rodentia; Sciuridae.